GGUCGUUAGCUCAGUUGGUAGAGCAGUUGACUUUUAAUCAAUUGGUCGCAGGUUCGAAUCCUGCACGACCCACCAA
RNAcentral lists this transfer RNA (76 nucleotides) under Escherichia coli. RNAcentral describes it as "tRNA-Lys". It matches the Rfam family "tRNA". From Rfam's summary of the family: Transfer RNA (tRNA) molecules are approximately 80 nucleotides in length. Their secondary structure includes four short double-helical elements and three loops (D, anti-codon, and T loops). Lineage: Bacteria; Pseudomonadati; Pseudomonadota; Gammaproteobacteria; Enterobacterales; Enterobacteriaceae. RNAcentral also lists the same sequence under 2 other names. The record is from RNAcentral.